AAGUCGUAACAAGGUUUCCGUAGGUGAACCUGCGGAAGGAUCAUUAGUGAAUUUACAGCUUCUGAAGCUGUUCUCUCUCUACUUUUCACCCCAGUGCACAUUACACUUUUAUUUAUAAUAAUAAUAAUACACCACAGUGUAGAAAUUUAAAAAGUCUUGGAAUGUAAAUAUACAAACAUAAAAACUUUCAGCAACGGAUCUCUUGGCUCUC
RNAcentral lists this unclassified non-coding RNA (211 nucleotides) under Phylloporus sp. Its description in RNAcentral is "partial contains small subunit ribosomal RNA, internal transcribed spacer 1, and 5.8S ribosomal RNA". The stretch from base 1 to 46 matches the Rfam family "Eukaryotic small subunit ribosomal RNA", at positions 1786 to 1831 of the family's 1831-position model. The record is from RNAcentral. Lineage: Eukaryota; Fungi; Basidiomycota; Agaricomycetes; Boletales; Boletaceae.